This 76-nucleotide transfer RNA is filed under the name Lentisphaerae bacterium ADurb.BinA184. RNAcentral describes it as "tRNA-Met". It matches the Rfam family "tRNA". From Rfam's summary of the family: Transfer RNA (tRNA) molecules are approximately 80 nucleotides in length. Their secondary structure includes four short double-helical elements and three loops (D, anti-codon, and T loops). Lineage: Bacteria; Pseudomonadati; Lentisphaerota. The record is from RNAcentral.
GGGCCCGUAGCUCAGGUGGUUAGAGCAGGUGACUCAUAAUCUCCGGGUCGCUGGUUCAAGUCCAGCCGGGCCCACC